Molecule: ribosomal RNA, 465 nt
Filed under: uncultured Klebsiella sp.
Lineage: Bacteria; Pseudomonadati; Pseudomonadota; Gammaproteobacteria; Enterobacterales; Enterobacteriaceae
Description: bacterial SSU rRNA
Rfam family: Bacterial small subunit ribosomal RNA
Source: RNAcentral
CCUACGGGUGGCUGCAGUGGGGAAUAUUGCACAAUGGGCGCAAGCCUGAUGCAGCCAUGCCGCGUGUGUGAAGAAGGCCUUCGGGUUGUAAAGCACUUUCAGCGGGGAGGAAGGCGGUGAGGUUAAUAACCUCAUCGAUUGACGUUACCCGCAGAAGAAGCACCGGCUAACUCCGUGCCAGCAGCCGCGGUAAUACGGAGGGUGCAAGCGUUAAUCGGAAUUACUGGGCGUAAAGCACACGCAGGCGGUCUGUCAAGUCGGAUGUGAAAUCCCCGGGCUCAACCUGGGAACUGCAUUCGAAACUGGCAGGCUAGAGUCUUGUAGAGGGGGGUAGAAUUCCAGGUGUAGCGGUGAAAUGCGUAGCGAUCCGGAGGAAUACCGGUGGCGAAGGCGGCCCCCUGGACAAAGACUGACGCUCAGGUGCGAAAGCGUGGGGAGCAAACAGGAUUAGAUACCCUUGUAGUC